This is a small nucleolar RNA of Gastrolobium bilobum, 85 nucleotides long. RefSeq annotates it as small nucleolar RNA SNORD25. Lineage: Eukaryota; Viridiplantae; Streptophyta; Magnoliopsida; Fabales; Fabaceae. The record is from RefSeq and is a predicted model, not a curated record. The transcript has a single exon.
UUUAACUGUGAUGAGCCCAACAGACCUGUAAUGAUUUGCGGGCAUGAUCGCAAUCAUUAAUGAACAUCUAAGGGACUGAGUUAUG